Molecule: ribosomal RNA, 438 nt
Filed under: uncultured bacterium
Lineage: Bacteria
Description: bacterial SSU rRNA
Rfam family: Bacterial small subunit ribosomal RNA
Source: RNAcentral
UUGGUGGCGACCGGCGCACGGGUGAGUAACGCGUAUGCAACCUACCUAUCAGAGGGGAAUAACCCGGCGAAAGUCGGACUAAUACCGCAUAAAACAGGGGCACCGCAUGGUGAUAUUUGUUAAAGAAAUUCGCUGAUAGAUGGGCAUGCGUUCCAUUAGGUAGUUGGUGAGGUAACGGCUCACCAAGCCGACGAUGGAUAGGGGAACUGAGAGGUUGGUCCCCCACACUGGUACUGAGACACGGACCAGACUCCUACGGGAGGCAGCAGUGAGGAAUAUUGGUCAAUGGGCGGGAGCCUGAACCAGCCAAGUCGCGUGGAAAAGGAAGAAGGAUCUAUGGUUCGUAAACUUCUUUUGCAGGGGAAUAAAGUGCAGGACGUGUCCUGUUUUGUAUGUACCCUGAGAAUAAGGAUCGGCUAACUCCGUGCCAGCAGCCGC